Molecule: ribosomal RNA, 207 nt
Filed under: bacterium enrichment culture clone photo 1
Lineage: Bacteria
Description: partial 16S ribosomal RNA
Rfam family: Bacterial small subunit ribosomal RNA
Source: RNAcentral
CCAAUACUCCUACGGGAGGCAGCAGUGGGGAAUAUUGGACAAUGGGCGCAAGCCUGAUCCAGCGAUGCCGCGUGUGUGAAGAAGGCCUGCGGGUUGUAAAGCACUUUCAGUGGGGAGGAAAAGCGGGUGCCUAAUACGUGCCUGACUUGACGUUACCCACAGAAGAAGCACCGGCUAACUCCGUGCCAGCAGCCGCGGUAAUAGUAU